AAACCAACAGGGAUUGCCCCAGUAAUGGCGAAUGAAGCGGCAAGAGCCCAAAUUUGAAAUCGGGCAACCGAGUUGUAAUUUGGAGACGGGACACUAGAGAGGAGGAAGGCGAUUAAGUGCCUUGGAACAGGCUGCCGUAGAGGGUGAGAGCCCCGUGAAUCGCUGGAGACCGAUCAAUUAGUGCCCGCCGAAGAGUCGAGUUGUUUGGGAAUGCAGCUCUAAGUGGGUGGUAUAUUCCAUCUAAGGCUAAAUAUUAGCGAGAGACCGAUAGCAAACAAGUACAGUGAUGGAAAGAUGAAAAGAACUUUGGAAAGAGAGUGAAAUAGUACGUGAAAUUGUUGAAAGGGAAGGGUAUUUGAUCCGACAUGGUGUUUAGCAGCGGCCCGUUCCUCGUGGAUGGGUGCACCUGGUUUACACUGGGCCAGCAUCGGUUCUGGGAGCCAUAUACGGGGUUCGUGAAUGUGGCCCUUCGAUUCUGUCGGAGGGUGUUAUAGCGCGGACAUCUUGUGGCUAGCCGGGACCGGGGACUGCGGUGACUUGUCACCAAGGAUGCUGGCAGAACGAGCAAAUACCAC
RNAcentral lists this ribosomal RNA (575 nucleotides) under Brettanomyces bruxellensis. RNAcentral describes it as "eukaryotic LSU rRNA". It matches the Rfam family "Eukaryotic large subunit ribosomal RNA", at positions 62 to 648 of the family's 3401-position model. The record is from RNAcentral. Lineage: Eukaryota; Fungi; Ascomycota; Pichiomycetes; Pichiales; Pichiaceae.